RNAcentral lists this ribosomal RNA (516 nucleotides) under uncultured bacterium. RNAcentral's name for it is "bacterial SSU rRNA". It matches the Rfam family "Bacterial small subunit ribosomal RNA", at positions 791 to 1308 of the family's 1533-position model. The record is from RNAcentral.
UAGUCCACGCCGUAAACGAUGGAUACUAGUUGUUGGGAUUUAUCUCAGUGACUAAGGGAAAGUGAUAAGUAUCCCACCUGGGGAGUACGUUCGCAAGAAUGAAACUCAAAGGAAUUGACGGGGCCCGCACAAGCGGUGGAGCAUGUGGUUUAAUUCGAUGAUACGCGAGGAACCUUACCAGGGCUUAAAUGUAAGUUGCAUGAUCUAGAGAUAGGUCUUUCUUCGGACUACUUACAAGGUGCUGCAUGGUUGUCGUCAGCUCGUGCCGUGAGGUGUCAGGUUAAGUCCUAUAACGAGCGCAACCCCUAUCGUUAGUUGCUAACAGGUUAAGCUGAGGACUCUAGCGAGACUGCCGGUGCAAACCGUGAGGAAGGUGGGGAUGACGUCAAGUCCUCAUGGGCCUUUAUGUCCAGGGGCUACACACGUGCUACAAUGGGGCGGAACAAAGGGGUAGCAAUGCCGCGAGGUGGAGGCUAAUCUCAAAAAGCCGUCCCAAGUUCGGGAUUGGGAGUCUGC